This 1303-nucleotide unclassified non-coding RNA is filed under the name Hevea brasiliensis (rubber tree). The record is from RNAcentral. Lineage: Eukaryota; Viridiplantae; Streptophyta; Magnoliopsida; Malpighiales; Euphorbiaceae.
GCCUCUUAUGGAUCCUCUUGUGACUCUAUUUGGUAGUGUCCAUGAGAAGCUCCCUGAUACAGGAAGUAUGAGGAGCAUGCUAUUCCCCAAUUUCGGAAGCAUGAUCAGCACCAUGGAUCCUCAUGUCAAAGAUGAUCACUGGGAUGAGGAGAGUCUGCAGAGAGAAGGUGAUGAUUAUCCUUCGGAUGGCGGUGCAGAUUCUGAUGACAAUCUACAAAGUCCAUUGAUAUCACGUCAAACAACCGCUGUGGAAACCGUAGUCCCUCAUCCCCAUGGCAGCACUAUGAGCGUGAGGCGGCAUAGCAGCCUAAUGCAAGGCAAUGCUGGAGAGGGUGUAGGCAGCAUGGGCAUUGGUGGUGGUUGGCAGUUGGCAUGGAAAUGGUCUGAAAGGGAAGGUGAAGAUGGAAUUAAAGAAGGAGGCUUCAAAAGGAUAUAUUUGCAUCAGGAGGCGGGCCCUAGCUCUCGACGUGGGUCUCUCGUUUCAGUUCCUGGUGGCGAUAUUCAUGAAGAUGGUGAAUUCAUACAAGCUGCGGCUUUGGUAAGUCAGCCUGCAGUUUACUCUAAGGAACUUAUGGAUCAGCAUCCUGUGGGACCAGCAAUGGUCCAUCCAUCUGAAACUGCUUCAAAAGGUCCGAGUUGGGCUGCUCUUCUUGAACCAGGAGUCAAGCGAGCGCUCAUAGUUGGAAUUGGAAUUCAAAUAUUGCAACAGUUCUCUGGUAUAAAUGGAGUCAUGUACUACACUCCUCAAAUCCUUGAGCAGGCAGGUGUAGGAGUUCUUCUUUCUAACUUUGGCAUCGCAUCAGACUCAGCAUCCUUCCUCAUCAGUGCGUUAACAAACUUCCUGAUGCUCCCUUCUGUAGCAAUUGCAAUGCGGUUCAUGGAUGUGGCUGGCAGAAGGUCGCUGCUGCUGUACACUAUUCCUGUUCUCAUACUAUCACUCAUCUGUCUUGUCAUUGGUAACACUGUCAACCUGGGGAGUGUAGCUCAUGCAGUCGUUUCUACUAUUUGCGUGAUUCUCUACUUUUGUUUCUUUGUGACGGGCUAUGGACCCAUCCCAAAUAUCCUCUGCUCAGAAAUUUUUCCAACUAGGGUUCGUGGUUUGUGCAUCGCCAUCUGUGCUCUCGUCUUCUGGAUAUGUGAUGUCAUUGUGACUUACACACUGCCUGUGAUGCUCAACUCGAUUGGUUUAUCUGGCGUGUUUGGUAUUUAUGCCAUUGUCUGUGUCAUUUCUUGGAUUUUCGUCUUCUUAAGGGUUCCCGAAACCAAAGGCAUGCCCUUAGAAGUCAUUACAGAGUUCUUUGCU